RNAcentral lists this ribosomal RNA (539 nucleotides) under uncultured bacterium. Its description in RNAcentral is "bacterial SSU rRNA". It matches the Rfam family "Bacterial small subunit ribosomal RNA", at positions 374 to 919 of the family's 1533-position model. The record is from RNAcentral.
GGCGAAAGCCUGACGCAGCCACGCCGCGUGAGUGAUGAAGGCCUUCGGGUCGUAAAACUCUGUCGGGAGGGACGAAGGGGUCAACCCUGACGGUACCUCGCAAGAAAGCACCGGCUAACUCUGUGCCAGCAGCCGCGGUAAUACAGAGGGUGCAAAGCGUUGACUCGGAUUAUUGGGCGUAAAGCGCACGCAGACGGUAUGGAAGGUCGGACGUGAAAUCCCUGGGCUCAACCUAGGAACUGCGUUCGAAACCACCAAAACUAGAGUUCGGAAGAGGGAGGCGGAAUUCCUGGUGUAGAGGUGAAAUUCGUAGAUAUCAGGAGGAACACCAGCGGCGAAGGCGGCUUCCUGGUCCGAUACUGACGUUCAGGUGCGAAAGCGUGGGUAGCAAACAGGAUUAGAUACCCUGGUAGUCCACGCUGUAAACGAUGAGUGCUAGAUGUUGGGGGUAUUCACUCCCUCGGUAUCGAAGCUAACGCGCUAAGCACUCCGCCUGGGGAGUACGGCCGCAAGGUGAAACUCAAAGGAAUUGACGGGGU